GCCUGGGUGGCUUAGUCGGUUGAGCACCUGCCUUCAGCUCAGGUCAUGAUCCCAGGGUCCUGGGAUCAAAUCCCAUAUCAGGCG
Molecule: transfer RNA, 84 nt
Filed under: Ailuropoda melanoleuca (giant panda)
Lineage: Eukaryota; Metazoa; Chordata; Mammalia; Carnivora; Ursidae
Rfam family: tRNA
About the family: Transfer RNA (tRNA) molecules are approximately 80 nucleotides in length. Their secondary structure includes four short double-helical elements and three loops (D, anti-codon, and T loops).
Source: Rfam by way of RNAcentral